UGCCCUCACGGGUAGAUCUCCCACCCUUGAAUAUUUUAUACCUUUGUUGCUUUGGCGGGCCGCUUCGGCUACCGGCUUUGGCUGGUGAGUGCCCGCCAGAGGACCCCAAAUUCUGAAUUAUAGUGUCGUCUGAGUACUAUAAAAUAGUUAAAACUUUCAACAACGGAUCUCUUGGUUCUGGCAUCGAUGAAGAACGCAGCGAAAUGCGAUAAGUAAUGUGAAUUGCAGAAUUCAGUGAAUCAUCGAAUCUUUGAACGCACAUUGCGCCCCUUGGUAUUCCGAGGGGCAUGCCUGUUCGAGCGUCAUUAUAACCCCUCAAGCUCAGCUUGGUGUUGGGGCCUGCCGCACGGGCAGCCCUUAAAAUCAGUGGCGGUGCCAUCUGGCUCUAAGCGUAGUAAUUCUUCUCGCUAUAGAGUCACGGUGGAUGCUUGCCAUUAACCCCCAAUUUUCAAUGGUUGACCUCGGAUCAGGUAGGGAUACCCGCUGAACUUAAGCAUAUCAAUAAGCGGAGGAAAAGAAACCAACAGGGAUUGCCUCAGUAACGGCGAGUGAAGCGGCAACAGCUCAAAUUUGAAAUCUGGCUCUUUCAGGGUCCGAGU
This 599-nucleotide ribosomal RNA is filed under the name uncultured Helotiales. RNAcentral's name for it is "eukaryotic LSU rRNA". The stretch from base 152 to 305 matches the Rfam family "5.8S ribosomal RNA". The record is from RNAcentral. Lineage: Eukaryota; Fungi; Ascomycota; Leotiomycetes; Helotiales.